UAAGAACAAAAUACUGUCCUUAGCACACCGCACAAUGGAAUCUCUCAGAGGCUAUAUCCAAGCAAAAUGGAUGUGGCGGAGAAGUUUAUUCAAGACAAUCCAUAGUAAGGCUUAACACACCAAUAUACACAUGAAGAAGAACUUCUUCGCAUCACGGAACAGAUGCAACCAGACGUAGAAAACCUAUUACUAGCAUUCGGGAUCGACAUUGCCACAAUAGGAGCCACAAGAGCGCCCACUCAUCCAACUUCUGAUGUAACGCAACCCGAUCCUGCACAUACAAAAACAAGAGCCAAUAUCAGUCAAGAGAUGAUGUAACUCAUGAAGGACCAAAUUGCAUUUGAGGAAAGUCACACCCUGAUAGAAUACUUGAGGAAAAAUCCUGGCCCAAGCAUACUCCACGAGUGGGCCACAAGAGUUCUACACAACUCCUACACCUCAACAACGAUGCUUGGGGGAGGUUACUUCAAAAUAUAAUUUAUGAGCAAACAAGGAAAACUACACAUGCUAUCUAAACCAUAUCAAUUCAACAACGAAGAUAUAUUAUUUUCCACCUGGAGAGCCGACUUCGACCUGGAAUCGGAAACCGACACGCACCAAACCUCCUCCCAAAUCUGGGCACAACUCCGAGGCUUAAGAAGGAUUUUUCGCACAACACAGUUUCUCACAGAAGCCUUUUCCACUAUCGAAGAAGUCAUAGCCGUUGACUCCACCAAAUCUUACCAAAACAAAGCUUCUGGUUCUAAGGUUCAGUUACCAGUCUAGGAUGUAGUCAACCUCCCACAUACUUCAGUUCUUCCCAAGAGGUGAACAUGAAUACCGAAUUGACUACAGUGUACUAUCCUCCUAGUGCAAUAGAUGUAGAAGUACUACACACCACGCUAAACACUGUACACUACCGUGGAGAGAAGAGCGCAAGAGAUCCAGAUAGAAAACCCCAACCUUGGAAAACUCGGUAACCGACAACCUCACCCAACACAGACAGACCAAUGGUGAAGAGAAAACAUUGAAAAAUGUAGGACCUAGGAAGAAGAACAGUGCAACUCUUCUACGCACCAAAUACAUCUGGGUAGAAAAGAAACCAACAAAAUCCACAGACACACAUGAAGGACCAGAAAAACCAUCUGAAUCAAUCAUAUACAACUCACCACAUACAAUUGAGCUUUUGGAGAGCUCUGGGAUCAGAACCGCCUUGCAAAGGAACAACUUAUGAGCAAAUUACAGUAGCUUUAGUUUGGUCAUCUCAAAACAACUUCCUUGAAACCCUGGUUUGCAAAGCUAGCGACACUCUGCUGUGCACAACACAACUGACUCACGUCCCAAAGGAGAAGGAUUGGUCAUCAUCAAUCGCUCAAACGCAUAUGGUUAACACCACAAUGCAAAAGCUCCAAACACAGAUAACCAAUAGAGGAAAUGGCCCCAACUUGCUCCGCACCUAGUCAGACGCAAUAUGGGUUUCAGAAUAGCUCAACUAAAAAUCUACUCACACAAACAAUUGGAUUACUAUCUUGCCAUACGACAAAAGCACCACAGCGAUCAAACAUCAAUAAACAAAGCACUGGAAGCAGAUACCAUCAUCAACAUCCCCCCCACAAGCUCUCAUACUAGAAAGGGUAAAGGAGAUAUCAUAUGGCCAAUGGUGUCAGACAAUCAUCCAUCUCCAAGAUUAACACACCCAGGAUGUGAACUCCUCUCCUCUAACUCACUUUGAGCAGAAACUCGGAGAGAACAACACAUCUAUUAUACAUGAAUGAUGGCCUAACAAUGGCCACAUACAACAUCCAGUGCUUAGGCGAAGGACUGGAUGGCGUCAGAAAAUGCUGUAAGCUUCGAAACUUAAUGCAAAAGACCUAUCUCAAACCCAACCUUAUAUUAUUACAAGAACAUCAAUUCAACCAUACUAACUGUACCAAACAAGCUACACAACUAGAUUUUCUACAAGGUACAAUGCUUUGGAACACCGUAGUGUACUCAGCACAAAAAGUGGCUUAGUUGGUGGAACAGCUAUUUUGGUAUCCAACAAACUCACCGAUAACCUAAAAGAACAUGGAGUGAUAGUCUGAGGAAGAGCGCAACGCUCCAUUUUCAAAAUCAGCCCCACAGUUCAAAUAGGCAUUCUAAAUGUCUAUGGUUACAGCCACACAGAACCCCGUGCAAGACUAUGGCAGAAAAUAGCAGACCACCCUUUACCAGAAGCCCUCUGGAUCAUGGGGGGCGAUUCUAAUUUUAUUGAGUCCCUCGAAGACAAGCAGGGUGGGAAUGCCAAUUUAAGACAAGGAACACAAGAAAUGACAGCAUGGAAUAACAUGCUCAUUAAACUAUAAGUUCAAGACAGUUUCCACAUGGGAGAAUUCUGCAAGAUUACCAAUAAACGCUUCACCUGGGAUAACAGAAGCCCAGCCCCGAAGACAGUACUCACCAAGCUAGAUAGAAUAUACAUUGGAGACAAACUCCAAGACUGAGGUGGACUAUGUGGAAUCUGGACAGCACAACCAAUCAUUUCGUAUUACACCCCUGCUUUCAUAAGAUUGAAACCUGCAUGCCGACCUCUACCCUAGAUGCAGUUCUUUGACAAACGACAACUAGAAUCAGUUGAAGGCAGACAACAUGUCACAGGAGCUUGAAAACAGGCCAUAUAAAACACUACAUAAACCAAAUGGAGCGAUAAAAUUGGCCUUACAAGCAGUAUGCAACACGAACCUAAAUAUUGCAAAAAAGAACAGACAGACUUGGAAAAAAUAGUACAAGAAUCAACUAAACCAGACACUCAAUGCCAAACUCCUCGUUCAAGAUAACUGAAAUGACCCAACGACGAGGGACACACUCAACACAACACAGCUAUAAUUACAAAAAAAUUGAUACAACAGGCUAGAAAAACAAUUCACAUUCCUUACAGUCAAAUGGACAAGAGUGAGAGACCGUUGCAACUCUGAGUUCUUUCAACACUACAGAGCUCGUCACUGCAAAGUCCGCAUCAAAGAAUCCAAUGAUAAGGACCGCAUUCAAAAGUUCCAGAAGCACAUGGCGCUUUAUGCACAAAGAUAUUACCAACAACUCUACACCCCAAACUCCACCGUUGAAUGCAAUGUAGACUCCGAAAGAGACACCUUAGCAAGCACUCCUAUAGUAGUCACAGAGGAUCACAACCGAGAGUUAGAACGCCCUAUAACUGCUGAAGAGAUUACAGCGGCAACGAAGAGUCUUCCUAGAAGCAAAGCCCCCAGACUGGACAAGGUACCGACCGAAUUUUUCCAAGAAUGUUGGAGGGAAAUUGGCCCCGACAUGGUGGAACUCAUCAAAGAGGUUCUCUCACAAGAAACAUUGCCCAAUAAAUUCAACACCAGCAAUGUAGUACUCAUCCCAAAAUCAGGUGACCUCUCUCUGAUCACAAACUACCACCUAAUUUCUAUUCUAAGCACAAUAUACAAAAUCAUAGCAAAAGCAUUGGCUAACAGACUAGUUCCUCACCUACCAAGAUGGAUUCAAAAAUCUUAAACAGGAUUUACUAGAGGAAGAUGUAUAUUUGAUAACGUCUUCCUAGCCACAGAAGCCAUGUCUUGGGCAGAAGAGAGCAAUCAGGACCUAGCCCUAAUACUUUGACAUUGAAAAAGCAAAUGAUCGCAUCGGUUGGAUUUUUUCGCAAGAUGCGAUGACACAAUUAGGUUUCUCCAACGAAUGGAUCACGUGGACAAUGGCUCUCAACAAUGAAGCUGAGGCAGUAAUAACCAUCAACGGAGAGCAAGGACAAUCCUUCAAGCUAGAGAGGUCAAUUCGCCAGAGGUGCCUCUUGGCACCCUACCUAUUUCUAUUUGCUGCCACCUUACUAGAAUAUGUGCUAGACGAUCCCAAGCACAACAUAGAAGGGCUCAUCCUAUCCAACCAAACCAGUCACACUAACUCUAUGUUUGCCGACGACACCUCACUAUUCCUCAAAAGAGAACCAAACAACAUGCAACAAACACUGAGAGUGUUAGACACGUACUAUGAAGCCUUCAGAGCUAAGAUUAACUGGCAUAAAACUCCGACAAUCUGGGUCUCCCAAAAAACACGAACCUUUAAUUGGAGAAAUGUGCAUGGUCUAACAUAGGUACGAACAGGAAUCCCAGUGCGCUACCUAGGCUUUCCAAUCGGAUUCCACAUGCCUCCAAAAGAGAACGGAGCCAAAAUCCUACAGCAAAUCAUAAGACAACUUAUCAAAUGGGGGCCCAAACAAUUAUCUUUAGCAGGCGAGAUAAUGAUCCUCAACUAAGUGGUCCUGGAUUCAAUAUGGUUCCUAGUUUCAUGCGCCAAUGUAGAAAAUAAAAUCUUCAAACAAAUGUGAUCUUUGGUAAGGAACUACCUAUUGUCCGGGAUCACCACAUGAACCACAAGAGCCAAGGUACAAUAGAAUACCAUCAUCCAAAUACUAACUCACGGAGGUCUAAAGGUCCUAGAACUUGAACUCCAAGCCAGAGCCCUCAUCGCAAAGCUGAUCACCUGUGGCAUGGCACCCGGAGUAGAACCAUAAAAAAUCCUACUUGGGCACUGGAUAACAGAAAUCCAAUACAGCAAGGGAGGAGAUUGGUACCAUAGCCCGCACUAGAUUACGGGAAACAAAAUAAAACUCAAACCCCAAGGCUCACCGUUGUGGCUCAAUGUGAGGUCAGUAUGUCAAGAAAUUCAACCUGGUCUGCAACAACAACCACCACAAUUUCUAGACAAACUGAUGUGCCAGCCUCUCUUCAACAACACACUGAUAAGAGACUCAAACGGAACGAUAUGGGGCCAAAACCUCCAGGACAAGUUCAAUCUAUGAACGAGAAAGGGAGUGCGGACUUGCGGGGACCUUUAGAACGCCACUUCAGAGGAUUGGCAUAUCGAGUCAACCCUGCAACACCGCACAGAAAGCCGCUUAAUUAAAGUUUAGAAAACCACAAUGCUCACAAACAUUCCAUGGCACUCGGGAAACAGACAACCUUACAUAGCCAUAGAGUGGUGGGCAAUUGAUACACAGGGAACCAUAGUCAAGAUAUUCUAUAC
This 5019-nucleotide long non-coding RNA is filed under the name Physcomitrium patens. RNAcentral describes it as "long non-coding RNA (PPAT_LNC011608)". The record is from RNAcentral. Lineage: Eukaryota; Viridiplantae; Streptophyta; Bryopsida; Funariales; Funariaceae.